This 1095-nucleotide long non-coding RNA is filed under the name Homo sapiens (human). RNAcentral describes it as "HSALNT0365463". The record is from RNAcentral. Lineage: Eukaryota; Metazoa; Chordata; Mammalia; Primates; Hominidae.
UGUGAAGGAGUACAGAAAGGUCAGGCAGCAAAGGGAUUCUAAAGGCCUGGAAUAAGCGAUUGCACAUUCUUUCUGGUGAUUUUUCUUCUAGUCCACAUCCCACCCCAAGCCCACAGCCUGCUUCAUCCCAACUGCAAUCUCAACUACUCCCUCACCUCCUUCUUCCAAAGAGAAAGAUGUGAAAAAGCAAAAUCAGUCAGUCUGAUCUCACCUUCCCUUCCCUCCAUUUAAUGGAGGGUUGGGGGUUGGGGAGAGCAUGCAACAAGGAAAUAGCUCUGGAAUCCAGAACAUCUGGCUUCUAUUCAGACCCAAUCACCAACCUUGGGAGCAUAUUGAAAGCAUUUGGCUGUCUCAACAGUCUAAAAGAAGCUAUUUAUUUCAGACUCAACAACCAGCCCAACCAUAUGCUUCCAUUUGGAAACAAUUGGAGACACGCAUGAAAUUUGGUGCUGUGACUCGGAUCGGGGGACCUCCCUUGGGAGAUCAAUCCCCUGUCCUCCUGCUCUUUGCUCCAUGAAAAAGAUCCACCUACAACCUCGGGUCCUCAGACCCACCAGCCCAAGGAACAUCUCACCAAUUUUAAAUCGGAUCUGCUUGGCUUAGCGACUGAAGAUCGACGCUGCCCGAUCGCCUCGGAAGCCCCUUGGACCAUCACAGACGCUGAGCUUCAGAAGAAGGCAAGAAUGUCAGGCCUCUGAGCCCAAGCCAAGCCAUCACAUCCCCUGUGACUUGCACACAUACGCCCAGAUGGCUUGAAGUAACUGAAGAAUCACUAAAGAAGUGAAAAUGCCCUGCCCCGCCUUAACUGAUGACAUUCCACCACAAAAGAAGUGAAAAUGGCCGGUCCUUGCCUUAACUGAUGACAUUACCUUGUGAAAGUCCUUUUCCUGGCUCAUCCUGGCUCAAAAAGCUCCCCCACUGAGCACCUUGCGACCCCCACUCCUGCCCACCAGAGAACAAAUCCCCUUUGACUGUAAUUUUCCUUUAUCUACCCAAAUCCUAUAAAACGGCCCCACACUUAUCUCCCUUCACUGACUGUCUUUUCGGACUCAACCCGCCUGCACCCUGGUGAUUAAACGCUUUAUUGCUCACCCA